GACGAACGCUGGCGGCGUGCCUAACACAUGCAAGUGGAGCGACGAACCAGGCUUCGGCCUGGGGCAAAGCCGCGAACGGGUGAGUAACACGUGGGUAACCUGCCCUGAUGAUUGGGACAACCCGAGGAAACUCGGGCUAAUACCGAAUGUGCCCUCCGGCCUCAAGGCCGCUGGGGAGAGGAAGCUUCGGCCUCCGCAUCGGGAUGGGCCCGCGGCCCAUUAGCUUGUUGGUGAGGUAACGGCUCACCAAGGCGACGAUGGGUAGCUGGUCUGAGAGGACGAUCAGCCACACUGGGACUGAGACACGGCCCAGACUCCUACGGGAGGCAGCAGUGGGGAAUCUUGCGCAAUGCGCGAAAGCGUGACGCAGCAACGCCGCGUGGGGGAAGAAGG
This 393-nucleotide ribosomal RNA is filed under the name uncultured bacterium. RNAcentral describes it as "bacterial SSU rRNA". It matches the Rfam family "Bacterial small subunit ribosomal RNA", at positions 28 to 414 of the family's 1533-position model. The record is from RNAcentral.